Molecule: ribosomal RNA, 497 nt
Filed under: uncultured bacterium
Lineage: Bacteria
Description: partial 16S ribosomal RNA
Rfam family: Bacterial small subunit ribosomal RNA
Source: RNAcentral
GACGAACGCUGGCGGCGUGCCUAAUACAUGCAAGUUGAGCGCUGAAGGUUGGUACUUGUACCAACUGGAUGAGCAGCGAACGGGUGAGUAACGCGUGGGGAAUCUGCCUUUGAGCGGGGGACAACAUUUGGAAACGAAUGCUAAUACCGCAUAAAAACUUUAAACACAAGUUUUAAGUUUGAAAGAUGCAAUUGCAUCACUCAAAGAUGAUCCCGCGUUGUAUUAGCUAGUUGGUGAGGUAAAGGCUCACCAAGGCGAUGAUACAUAGCCGACCUGAGAGGGUGAUCGGCCACAUUGGGAAUGAGACAAGGCCCAAACUCCUACGGGAGGCAGCAGUAGGGAAACUUCGGAGAUGGACGAAAGUCUGACCGAGCAACGCCGCGUGAGUGAAGAAGGUUUUCGGAUCGUAAAACUCUGUUGGUAGAGAAGAACGUUGGUGAGAGUGGAAAGCUCAUCAAGUGACGGUAACUACCCAGAAAGGGACGGCUAACUACGUG